CUUAACUGUAAAAUUGCUAUUGAUACUGAUAAUCUUGAGUCAGAUUGGAGCGUCUGGAAUGUAUGGUGUAGCGGUGAAAUGCAUAGAUAUCAUACAGAACACCAAUAGCGAAGGCAGGAUGCUAAAUCUUCACUGACGCUGAGGCACGAGAGCGUGGGUAGCAAACAGGAUUAGAUACCCUGGUAGUCCACGCCCUAAACUAUGAUCACUAGCUAUUGGAAAAAUUAUAUUCAGUGGCCAAGCUAAAGCGAUAAGUGAUCCACCUGGGAAGUACGAUCGCAAGAUUGAAACUCAAAGGAAUUGACGGGGUUUCGCACAAGCGGUGGAGCAUGUGGUUUAAUUCGAUGAUACGCGAGGAACCUUACCAAGGUUUAAAUGUAUUACGAAUAAGCUGGAAACAACUUAGUCUAUAAGACGUAAUACAAGGUGCUGCAUGGUUGUCUUCAGUUCGUGCUGUGAAGUGUUUGGUUAAGUCCUAUAACGAGCGCAACCCUUAUUGUUAGUUGCCAUCGGGUAAAGCCGGGGACUUUAACAAAACGGCCGGUGUAAAUCGAGAGGAAGGUGGGGAUAAUGUCAAAUCAUCAUGGCCUUUAUGCCUUGGGCUACACACGUGCUACAAUGGCUGGUACAAAGGGCAGCCACUGGGUGACCAGGAGCUAAUCUGUAAAACCAGU
RNAcentral lists this ribosomal RNA (674 nucleotides) under Candidatus Uzinura diaspidicola. RNAcentral's name for it is "bacterial SSU rRNA". It matches the Rfam family "Bacterial small subunit ribosomal RNA", at positions 608 to 1286 of the family's 1533-position model. The record is from RNAcentral. Lineage: Bacteria; Pseudomonadati; Bacteroidota; Flavobacteriia; Flavobacteriales.